GGCUAACUUACACUACAUUCUAUACAGCAUUUUAAUAUAAUUUUAUUCUCUCGCUUUUGAUCUCAUCAUUAUUGUGUACGGAAACCCUAUUCCUGAACUCAUCAGCUCUGUCAUUCCAUCUACAUUCUAAGGCUAAGUAUUUUACAUUUCAUCGGUUAUUUCAUUAUCUUUUGGAUCAAAUUAAUUCACUUGUCUAGAAACCACGAACAAUUUCAACUGUACCGUUUUACGGGUAAACAGAUAUAUCACCAUUGGAUCUGUGGUAGGCUUCUCACCUACCUUGAAGAGGGUUGGUUAAGUUUGGUUGACCAUUGAUAAGCUCAUGAAGAUCACACAGUUCCUACAGUUUGGACUAUUUAAUACAGCGGAGCAGCUUGCACAUGUAGACCUUUGGGAGGUAGUACUUACAAGGGUUCCUGUUUAUACUACAAAGGAUAGAAGUUUACAAUCCACAUUUAGUAGUCUUUACAAAAUGCCUUGGGUGUUCGAGUUGAGUUUAGCAUAAGUUUUUAUCUGCGGACUACUGAUAGUCUGAUCGAUCUAUACAUAUGUUGAGGACAUGCGCCGUUGACUUUGGUAGCCAUUAGGAUGAUCUGUUACUUUUAGCAGAAUAAGUAUAUAACAACACCUUACUGAUCUAGUAUAUAGAUGGCGCUGUUUGAGAAUUUAUACCGGGAAUGGUGUCGUCCUCGCAUUAUCUUGGUUGGUUAGAACCCGAGAAAAUGAAGUUGUUAGGCCCACAUUUGGUAUAACAGGCCUUAGAAAAAAAUAAAUCUGAUCCAAGUAUGACUCUGAUUAAAGUCAAAACGGGAAAAAGUCAUUUUCAAACAAAUUGCGUCUUAACUUGGAGUUCAUGGAGGGUAAUCAUAUUUUUAUAAAAGUUUUUCAAUGAAAAGGCUGAUGAGAUUCGGAAAGAAGCGCAUGCUUAGCCCGAGGCAUAUUGGCCCAUACAAGAUUAAAAAACAGGUCAAUGCAAUAGAUAAUAGACUAGCUUUACUAUUAGAAUUAUUAGUGGUUCAUUUGGUUUUUUAUGUGUCUAUGUUCUAAGAGUAUGUUCAUAACCCGACACACGUUCUUCGAGCUGAGUCAAUCCAGGUGGACCAGGACUGAUCCGAUGGGGAGGUCCUGUUAUCCAUUAUUGACAAACUAAUUCUCCAGCUUAGUUCGAAAAGUUUUAGUUGAUAAAAUAUUGCGACGAAUCAUCCUAAUCAUAAGGUUAAUUAUUUGAGAGUCUGAGCAGGACAGGUAUAAUAAGUAUUCAUAGUAGUUUGAUACUUUAAGCAUAAUUAAAUACUACAUAUGAUUGACAAAAAAAGGGCAUUUAGGACAUUUGAUAAGAAUGAGGAAAAGGAAAAAAUAAUAAAAGAAGAAGAGUAUAACUGGGGCAAGCUACAAUUUGAAAUAAUGCUAGAACAGGAGUCUUAAAGAGUUGGAAACGUUGCUAAAAGCUUUGGAAGAAGUUGUAUCUUAGCAAUGCAUCAUAUAGCUUUUUCUUAAAUCGUGAAGAACACAGAUAAGUAGAGAAAUUGUGAGAAAACGAUAAAAGAAAGAGAAAACAAGCUUGGGCUAAAAGGAUUCAAGUAAUAAUUUAUGUAGUUUGAAGGCAUUUGACGAAGUUAGAACAAGGAAGUAAGCCGAGGAGUUGAGUUGCGUAGCUCAAAGUUGAAGUAAGUGAAACAUUAAAUCAUGUUAGCUUUUUUCCUGGUGGUAAGAAAGUUCAAUAAAAGGAAAAAGGCACAAGUACAAUUAAGGUCGGAUCUCCAGUUAUGCAAUCCACCUUUGCAGUAUUCCUAUUACCCCUAGGCCCUAUACUAUACUAUCUCAAAGUGGAAUUAUUAUCCCUUGAUGUGGCACACAGAGUGAAAUACACUCUCUUGAAUAGAGUGAGAAGCCAAAAAAUGUUUAAAAUUUUAUUUCUAUAGCAUUAAUUUUACUACAUAUUAUAUAUUUUCCUAUUGUUUUCCUUCUUCAUUAUGUUCUUUCUUUCUCUCCUUGGACUAGUGGCAUGGACUCACCCGCCGAGAAAUUAUUAUACAUGGAUGCAUUAUGCAUUGAGUUAUGCUUCACAUUCACCUCCCGAAUUUCGUCGUGAUACCUUCCCAACAAAAUAAACCCCAUCCCCCAUCUCAAAAAAAUGCAUGUUCACAUAUCAUGACUUAUUAGAACUAAUGUCAGUCUCAGUUGCAUAUGCAUGUUAAAGAAAUAAAAUCAAUUUCAAAUAGAACUUGCUAAAUUUAAAGAGAAAUAAUGUUUCAAAUAAUUUUGAAAAAUCAAAGAAAAAAAUAAUGGACAUUAAUUAAGCAUGAGAGCGAGGCAUAGUGAAAGGGAGGGGAGUAAGAAAGUGAAACAUAGUGAAGAGAACUAGUAAUCAUUUUGGGGGACUAUAGCCUUACAAAUCCUAGAUUACAAAAUGUAAAAGUGUCAAUAGUGAUCUAGUCUUGGAUCCAAAAUAUACCAAUGAUAUCAUCUCAAUUCUCAUGGAACGUGCCUAAAGUUAGCUUUUUCUCCGCUAAUCGAGGUGAGAUAUUUCCUUUCCGUAUUUUCAUUAUUGUGUUCUAGAUAGGAGGCCUUUUCCAAGCAAUAAUGAAAGAGCUUUUUCUUUUAGUUGAUUUCGUUGAUUGAGUUUGUCCAAUUAUUACUUCUAAUAGUAUAGUAAUACUUAUAAUAAUUAAUGCAAGUAAUGGGAAGAUAACCUAUGGAUAUUGACAUUUUAAGUUUAUCUAAAGGAUAUUUACUUCUAAUAGGCAUUGGUGGAUUCCACGUCUUCUCUCUGCAGUGUGUGUCAGUGUUUUCUUUUAUCUCUAAGCAUAGCAGUAUAACGCAAGCCUCUUCUGAAAAUGACAUCAAUUUUUAAUUCUUUGUUAAAACAGUAUUAUCUUUGCAAAUUGUUAGUUAAAUUACUCCGGGAUAGUAGUGUAUUAAUAUUACUGGAUUUUAUCUCUAAAUUAUCUUGCACCAAAGGAGAAGUGAGGGACUGUCAAAUGUUGUCCUUAAACUAUUCUUCGUCAAACCACCCCGAAUACUGCUUUGUCGUCUAAUAUAGCCACUAAAGUAGAAUAGUAUUAUAUUUAUAUAAUAGACAGUAGAAAAGGCAAAUAUACGAUGACAAAUAACUAUGAUAAUAAUGCUUAAAUAGUUUAAAGAGUCAAAAUUUCUUAUUAUGGCUA
Non-coding RNA from Nicotiana tabacum (common tobacco), 3167 nucleotides. NCBI's taxonomy places the organism in Eukaryota, Viridiplantae, Streptophyta, Magnoliopsida, Solanales, Solanaceae. The record is from RefSeq and is a predicted model, not a curated record.